AUUAGGGUUUGAUCAUGGCUCAGGACGAACGCUGGCGGCGUGCUUAACACAUGCAAGUCGAGCGAGGUCCAACCACCCGCAAGGGUGGGGAAGACCUAGCGGCGAACGGGUGAGUAACACGUGAGGAACCUGCCCCGAAGACUGGGAUAACACCGGGAAACCGGUGCUAAUACCGGAUGCCCUCUCUGGAUCGCAUGGUCCGGCGAGGAAAUGGAUUCCGCUUCGGGAGGGCCUCGCGGCCUAUCAGCUUGUUGGUGAGGUAACGGCUCACCAAGGCAGCGACGGGUAGCUGGUCUGAGAGGACGAUCAGCCACACUGGGACUGAGACACGGCCCAGACUCCUACGGGAGGCAGCAGUGGGGAAUCUUGCGCAAUGGGCGAAAGCCUGACGCAGCAACGCCGCGUGGGGGAUGAAGGCUUUCGGGUCGUAAACCCCUUUCAGCAGGGACGAAAUUGACGGUACCUGCAGAAGAAGCCCCGGCCAACUACGUGCCAGCAGCCGCGGUAACACGUAGGGGGCAAGCGUUGUCCGGAUUUAUUGGGCGUAAAGGGCUCGUAGGCGGCUUGGCAAGUCGGAUGUGAAAACUCGAGGCUCAACCUCGAGACGCCAUUCGAUACUGCUAUGGCUUGAGUCUGGUAGGGGAGCACGGAAUUCCUGGUGUAGCGGUGAAAUGCGCAGAUAUCAGGAGGAACACCGGUGGCGAAGGCGGUGCUCUGGGCCAGAACUGACGCUGANGAGCGAAAGCGU
Molecule: ribosomal RNA, 748 nt
Filed under: uncultured bacterium
Lineage: Bacteria
Description: bacterial SSU rRNA
Rfam family: Bacterial small subunit ribosomal RNA
Source: RNAcentral